GCAAGUCGAGCGGUAAGGCCCUUCGGGGUACACGAGCGGCGAACGGGUGAGUAACACGUGAGCAACCUGCCCCUGACUCCGGGAUAAGCGGUGGAAACGCCGUCUAAUACCGGAUAUGACCUGUCACCUCAUGGUGGCGGGUGGAAAGUUUUAUCGGUCAGGGAUGGGCUCGCGGCCUAUCAGCUUGUUGGUGGGGUAACGGCCUACCAAGGCGAUUACGGGUAGCCGGCCUGAGAGGGCGACCGGCCACACUGGGACUGAGACACGGCCCAGACUCCUGCGGGAGGCAGCAGUGGGGAAUAUUGCACAAUGGGCGAAAGCCUGAUGCAGCGACGCCGCGUGGGGGAUGACGGCCUUCGGGUUGUAAACCUCUUUUACCACCAACGCAGGCUCCGGGUUCUCCCGGGGUUGACGGUAGGUGGGGAAUAAGGACCGGCUAACUACGUGCCAGCAGCCGCGGUAAUACGUAGGGUCCGAGCGUUGUCCGGAAUUAUUGGGCGUAAAGAGCUCGUAGGCGGCAUGUCGCGUCUGCUGUGAAAGACCGGGGCUUAACUCCGGUUCUGCAGUGGAUACGGGCAUGCUAGAGGUAGGUAGGGGAAACUGGAAUUCCUGGUGUAGCGGUGAAAUGCGCAGAUAUCAGGAGGAACA
RNAcentral lists this ribosomal RNA (648 nucleotides) under Nocardiopsis exhalans. RNAcentral describes it as "bacterial SSU rRNA". It matches the Rfam family "Bacterial small subunit ribosomal RNA", at positions 57 to 708 of the family's 1533-position model. Lineage: Bacteria; Bacillati; Actinomycetota; Actinomycetes; Streptosporangiales; Nocardiopsidaceae. The record is from RNAcentral.